RNAcentral lists this ribosomal RNA (492 nucleotides) under uncultured bacterium. RNAcentral describes it as "partial 16S ribosomal RNA". It matches the Rfam family "Bacterial small subunit ribosomal RNA", at positions 29 to 507 of the family's 1533-position model. The record is from RNAcentral.
AUUGAACGCUGGCGGCAUGCUUUACACAUGCAAGUCGAACGGUAACAGGCCUUCGGGUGCUGACGAGUGGCGAACGGGUGAGUAAUGCAUCGGAACGUACCCAGAGGUGGGGGAUAAUGCAGCGAAAGCUGUGCUAAUACCGCAUGUGAUCUGAGGAUGAAAGCGGGGGACCGAGCAGCAAUGUUUGGCCUCGCGCCUUUGGAGCGGCCGAUGUCGGAUUAGCUAGUUGGUGGGGUAAAGGCCUACCAAGGCGACGAUCCGUAGCUGGUCUGAGAGGACGACCAGCCACACGGGGACUGAGACACGGCCCAGACUCCUACGGGAGGCAGCAGUGGGGAAUUUUGGACAAUGGGCGCAAGCCUGAUCCAGCAAUGCCGCGUGCGGGAAGAAGGCCUUCGGGUUGUAAACCGCUUUUGGCAGGAACGAAACGGUGUCCGCUAAUACCGGGCGCUAAUGACGGUACCUGCAGAAUAAGCACCGGCUAACUACGUG